CUUUAAUACUUUCAUUUUCUCUCUCCAAGAUUUCUGAAAGGUGAUACAAAGAUAUCUGGUGAUACUUGUAAAGUCUGCAUUUUUCUAACACAUAAGUAAGUGUGAGAAGAGCAUUAACAAGGAAGAAAGAGGUUUCUACUGCAACUGGGAAUUUUCUGAGCAAUUUCGCUGAGAUAUGCUAGGAUCAGAGAAGUAAUAUACUGUCUGGUUUGGAAGAAAAAAAAAACAGAAGAAAAAAGUGGAAGGAAGAAAGGAACGAACGAACGAAGGGAGGGAGGGAGGAAUGACUUUGAGAAACAGUAGAAAGAAAUAAAGAAGAUGAAAUUAAAAGAAAAGGAAGAAAAGGAAGAAUGUAGGAAG
Long non-coding RNA from Gallus gallus (chicken), 360 nucleotides. The record is from Ensembl. Lineage: Eukaryota; Metazoa; Chordata; Aves; Galliformes; Phasianidae.